AGACCCGAAACCCGGUGAUCUAGCCAUGGGCAGGUUGAAGGUUGGGUAACACUAACUGGAGGACCGAACCGACUAAUGUUGAAAAAUUAGCGGAUGACCUGUGGCUGGGGGUGAAAGGCCAAUCAAACCGGGAGAUAGCUGGUUCUCCCCGAAAGCUAUUUAGGUAGCGCCUCGUGAAUUCAUCUCCGGGGGUAGAGCACUGUUUCGGCUAGGGGGCCAUCCCGGCUUACCAACCCGAUGCAAACUGCGAAUACCGGAGAAUGUUAUCACGGGAGACACACGGCGGGUGCUAACGUCCGUCGUGAAGAGGGAAACAACCCAGACCGCCAGCUAAGGUCCCAAAGUCAUGGUUAAGUGGGAAACGAUGUGGGAAGGCCCAGACAGCCAGGAUGUUGGCUUAGAAGCAGCCAUCAUUUAAAGAAAGCGUAAUAGCUCACUGGUCGAGUCGGCCUGCGCGGAAGAUGUAACGGGGCUAAACCAUGCACCGAAGCUGCGGCAGCGACACUCAGGUGUUGUUGGGUAGGGGAGCGUUCUGUAAGCCUGUGAAGGUGGCCUGUGAGGGUUGCUGGAGGUAUCAGAAGUGCGAAUGCUGACAUAAGUAACGAUAAAGCGGGUGAAAAGCCCGCUCGCCGGAAGACCAAGGGUUCCUGUCCAACGUUAAUCGGGGCAGGGUGAGUCGACCCCUAAGGCGAGGCCGAAAGGCGUAGUCGAUGGGAAACGGGUUAAUAUUCCCGUACUUGGUGUUACUGCGAAGGGGGGACGGAGAAGGCUAUGUUGGC
RNAcentral lists this ribosomal RNA (779 nucleotides) under Salmonella enterica subsp. enterica serovar Virchow. RNAcentral's name for it is "partial 23S ribosomal RNA". It matches the Rfam family "Bacterial large subunit ribosomal RNA", at positions 711 to 1491 of the family's 2925-position model. Lineage: Bacteria; Pseudomonadati; Pseudomonadota; Gammaproteobacteria; Enterobacterales; Enterobacteriaceae. The record is from RNAcentral.